UGAUUUAAAAAUUAAGCGGGAGUAUAGAAAAGACUUUCAAGCGAAACAGAGGUGUGCCUGGGAAAAAUAAAUUAACAAAACAACGCCAUUGGAUUAAUUAAAAUAUUUAUAAAAUAAAUAAUUAUUAAAAAAAGGAUUUUUCAAUUAAAUAUUUUUUUAUAUAAAAAAAAGAAGUAAAACAAGAAUUAAUUAAGACAAUAUGAUGAAAUUUGUAUUUGUUUUGUGUGUAGCUGUGGCUUUGAUGCAACAAACCCAGGCUUUUAAAGUGGUCACUAUACAUAAAGGUGCCCCACCAGCUGCUGCUGCCUCUGCUCCUGCUGCACCCGCUUUUGAUCCUUCUGCUUUAUUACAAGGUGUACAAUCUGCCAUUGCUGGCAAAUUACAACAAGUUCAAGCUUUGGUCGGUUCUUUGGUCCAACAAAAAACAGCUCUUAAACAAAAUGCUUUGAAUUCCUUGCAAAGCACUUUAGGUGGUGUUAAGAGUCAAGUUGGCAGCCUAGCUGGCAGUGUACAACCACCUUUUGUUAUUCGCAAACAAAUUUAUGUUGGUGCUCCUCCCAAGCCAGCACCUGCACCAGCUCCCGAGUCCACUACUACAGCUGAUGUUGAUGCUACAACAACAUCGGGUUAAUUUCAUAAUAAAUACGAUUAAGCAGGCCAAAGUUACAGAAUAUUUAAUAGAAAAAAAAUAAAAACGAAUAUUAGGUACCCGUAGUUCUUAAGUUGUGCUCACAAAAUAAUUAUAAACGAUAUUUGUAUAGAAAUUUGGGGUAAUCACACCCUAGCCCCCUGUACAAACUCCCCUUCAGAAAACGAUUUGAAGGUCAAAAUUCACUUUGAAGUAGACGUAAAUUCAUCUACCAACAUUUAUAGAGUAAGGCCUUUAUUUACCCCUACUCCAAUAUGAGCUCUCUUGUAGAAAAUCUCUUAUUUCGUCUAGUAAAAUAUUCCGGAAUAAAGUGA
RNA transcript from Lucilia cuprina (Australian sheep blowfly), 963 nucleotides. RefSeq lists it as uncharacterized. Lineage: Eukaryota; Metazoa; Arthropoda; Insecta; Diptera; Calliphoridae. The record is from RefSeq and is a predicted model, not a curated record. The transcript is spliced from 3 exons.